This 661-nucleotide ribosomal RNA is filed under the name Aestuariispira insulae. RNAcentral describes it as "bacterial SSU rRNA". It matches the Rfam family "Bacterial small subunit ribosomal RNA", at positions 86 to 781 of the family's 1533-position model. Lineage: Bacteria; Pseudomonadati; Pseudomonadota; Alphaproteobacteria; Rhodospirillales; Aestuariispiraceae. The record is from RNAcentral.
AUCUGGAGAGCGGCGGACGGGUGAGUAACGCGUGGGAACGUGCCCUUAGGUGGGGGACAACAGUUGGAAACGACUGCUAAUACCGCAUAAGCCAAUUUGGGAAAGCCUUCGGGCGCCUUGGGAUCGGCCCGCGUUAGAUUAGGUAGUUGGUGGGGUAAAGGCCUACCAAGCCUACGAUCUAUAGCUGGUUUGAGAGAAUGAUCAGCCACACUGGGACUGAGACACGGCCCAGACUCCUACGGGAGGCAGCAGUGGGGAAUAUUGCGCAAUGGGGGAAACCCUGACGCAGCCAUGCCGCGUGGGUGAAGAAGGCCUUCGGGUUGUAAAGCCCUUUCAACGGUGAAGAUGAUGACUGUAGCCGUAGAAGAAGCCCCGGCUAACUUCGUGCCAGCAGCCGCGGUAAUACGAAGGGGGCUAGCGUUGUUCGGAAUUACUGGGCGUAAAGGGCGCGUAGGCGGACUGACCAGUCAGGGGUGAAAUCCCGAGGCUCAACCUCGGAACUGCCUUUGAUACUGUCAGUCUAGAGUCUGUGAGAGGAUGACGGAAUACCCAGUGUAGAGGUGAAAUUCGUAGAUAUUGGGUAGAACACCGGUGGCGAAGGCGGUCAUCUGGCGCAGCACUGACGCUGAGGCGCGAAAGCGUGGGGAGCAAACAGGAUUAG